RNA transcript from Cryptomeria japonica (Japanese cedar), 1320 nucleotides. RefSeq lists it as uncharacterized. The transcript has 3 exons. The record is from RefSeq and is a predicted model, not a curated record. Lineage: Eukaryota; Viridiplantae; Streptophyta; Pinopsida; Cupressales; Cupressaceae.
CCACUAUUAGAGUUGAGUGGGUAACCUAGGAAAGCGUGUAGAACCGACCCUGGUUAUUCUACUUUACUCAAACAACCCUACAAAAGCAAUAAACAAAUGGAUUGGGAGACAUUCCUUCUCACCAUAAAUUCAAGUCAUUCCCAAGUCAACCUCCAUUCAUUCUCCAUCCAAGCGAUGCUGUUGUCUGUCUCACUUCUCUUUCCCAACUUUGAUUGCCAAAGUCAAGCAAGUUCCACAUUCAGACAAGAAUCCUUUGAUUGCCCAACUAUAUAUAUAUUUAUCUCCAUAGCAAUUCCACUGUGGAUGUUUUCACAUCUUCAAGCUGCUGAUUAUCUCUAUGAUGGGUAUUGGAUGAAGCGAAGUUUUAUGACUCAGGUGAAAGUAUGCCUGGCUCCCUGUAUGCCACAUACAAAGUUCAUCACUUGUUGAUUGACUUCAUAGGUGGCUUACAAGGAGCCAAGCAUACGUUUUCUGACCCUAACACAGCUUUUUCUUUUUCUUUUUCUCCUUUUCCUUUUUUCUGUUUUGAGUUAUUUCAUAAGUAUUUUCUGCUUAAUCCUUGAUUCAUAUAUACUUUCACAUGCCAUUAAAGCUUCAUUUUAUACUAAAACGUAUCACACACUGUAUAUUUGAGACACAAGGCUGUUGUCUUAGGUAUCCUUGUAGGAAUUUAGAUCAAAAUUAGUUUUCAAGAAAAAAUGUUUCCAAACAGGGAACAUUUCUCGUGUUUGAGUUUAGAGCAAAAUUAUACUGUACUGUAACAGACCAUUUUUGCUGUUCAGGGUAGAACGAGUUCACUGAUUUGUCCAACAUUCAGGCAACUAUUGACACUUUGAAAAUUACUGAUGUGGUGCUUGCAUUUGUAGUCAACUUGAAAAAGUGGUCUUUAAUUCUGAUGUACCAAGGUCAACUUAUGCUCAUAUAUGCAUGAACAAGGCUACAACUGAAAAUUGGUUAUCAGUUUAUAUCACAUGAAUCUAUCUUUCUUUCUUCUUACGGCAAGUUGGAGCUUGAUAUGUACAUGAUCCAAAUCUAAAUGCAAGGACCAGAAUCGUUACUGUUUUGAUGUGAAGAACUUUUCAAGUAUUUAAUUGUUACAUGGUAAAUUGUUGAAGAUAUUCUAGAGAGAAAAUGACAGUGGUUGCUUUCAGAUUACCUACUAGAGGUGACAGGCUUUCAAUCUUGAUGUUUGAAGAAAUGAAGAAAAACAUCUCACGACUCUCUAAAAGAUGAGAUCUGUACAGCAAAGGUUUUCAAAAUUCUAAAUACAUAUGUAAAAACCCACUGUAAAUAUAAAUACUUUUCUUUGUUGUUUUUCAA